CUGCGGAAGGAUCAUUGUCGUGACCCUGACCAAAACAGACCGCGCACGCGUCAUCCAAUCCGUCGGCGACGGCACCGUCCGUCGCUCGGCCAAUGCCUCGACCACCUCCCCUCCUCGGAGCGGGUGGGGGCUCGGGGUAAAAGAACCCACGGCGCCGAAGGCGUCAAGGAACACUGUGCCUAACCCGGGGGCAUGUCUAGCUUGCUAGCCGUCCCUCGUGUUGCAAAUCUAUUUAAUCCACACGACUCUCGGCAACGGAUAUCUCGGCUCUCGCAUCGAUGAAGAACGUAGCGAAAUGCGAUACCUGGUGUGAAUUGCAGAAUCCCGCGAACCAUCGAGUCUUUGAACGCAAGUUGCGCCCGAGGCCACUCGGCCGAGGGCACGCCUGCCUGGGCGUCACGCCAAAACACGCUCCCAACCACUCUCAACGGGAAUCGGGAUGCGGCAUCUGGUCCCUCGUCUCUCAAGGGACGGUGGACCGAAGAUUGGGCUGCCGGCGUACCGCGCCGGACACAGCGCAUGGUGGGCGUCCUCGCUUUAUCAAUGCAGUGCAUCUGGCGCGCAGCUGGCAUUAUGGCCUUUGAACGACCCAACAAACGAAGCGCACGUCGCUUCGACCGCGACCCCAGGUCAGGCGGGACUACCCGCUGAGUUUAAGCA
This 660-nucleotide ribosomal RNA is filed under the name Triticum dicoccoides. RNAcentral's name for it is "eukaryotic LSU rRNA". The stretch from base 244 to 399 matches the Rfam family "5.8S ribosomal RNA". The record is from RNAcentral. Lineage: Eukaryota; Viridiplantae; Streptophyta; Magnoliopsida; Poales; Poaceae.